GAUGAACGCUGGCGGCGUGCCUAAUACAUGCAAGUCCAGCGAACAGACGAGGAGCUUGCUUCUCUGACGUUAGCGGCGGACGGGUGAGUAACACGUGGAUAACCUACCUAUAAGACUGGGAUAACUUCGGGAAACCGGAGCUAAUACCGGAUAAUAUAUUGAACCGCAUGGUUCAAUAGUGAAAGACGGUUUUGCUGUCACUUAUAGAUGGAUCCGCGCCGCAUUAGCUAGUUGGUAAGGUAACGGCUUACCAAGGCAACGAUGCGUAGCCGACCUGAGAGGGUGAUCGGCCACACUGGAACUGAGACACGGUCCAGACUCCUACGGGAGGCAGCAGUAGGGAAUCUUCCGCAAUGGGCGAAAGCUUGACGGAGCAACGCCGCGUGAGUGAUGAAGGUCUUCGGAUCGUAAAACUCUGUUAUUAGGGAAGAACAAAUGUGUAAGUAACUAUGCACGUCUUGACGGUACCUAAUCAGAAAGCCACGGCUAACUACGUG
RNAcentral lists this ribosomal RNA (497 nucleotides) under uncultured bacterium. RNAcentral's name for it is "partial 16S ribosomal RNA". It matches the Rfam family "Bacterial small subunit ribosomal RNA", at positions 28 to 507 of the family's 1533-position model. The record is from RNAcentral.